RNAcentral lists this ribosomal RNA (253 nucleotides) under uncultured bacterium. Its description in RNAcentral is "partial 16S ribosomal RNA". It matches the Rfam family "Bacterial small subunit ribosomal RNA", at positions 524 to 776 of the family's 1533-position model. The record is from RNAcentral.
UACGAAGGGGGCUAGCGUUGCUCGGAAUUACUGGGCGUAAAGGGCGCGUAGGCGGACAUUUAAGUCAGGGGUGAAAUCCCAGAGCUCAACUCUGGAACUGCCUUUGAUACUGGAUGUCUUGAGUGUGAGAGAGGUAUGUGGAACUCCGAGUGUAGAGGUGAAAUUCGUAGAUAUUCGGAAGAACACCAGUGGCGAAGGCGACAUACUGGCUCAUUACUGACGCUGAGGCUCGAAAGCGUGGGGAGCAAACAGG